GCAUUGGUGGUUAGGGGUAGAAUUCUUGCCUUCCAUGCAGGAGACCCGGGUUUGAUCCCUGGCCAGUGCA
This 70-nucleotide transfer RNA is filed under the name Ovis aries (sheep). It matches the Rfam family "tRNA". Rfam says of the family: Transfer RNA (tRNA) molecules are approximately 80 nucleotides in length. Their secondary structure includes four short double-helical elements and three loops (D, anti-codon, and T loops). Further hydrogen bonds mediate the characteristic L-shaped molecular structure. tRNAs have two regions of fundamental functional importance: the anti-codon, which is responsible for specific mRNA codon recognition, and the 3' end, to which the tRNAs corresponding amino acid is attached (by aminoacyl-tRNA synthetases). tRNAs cope with the degeneracy of the genetic code in two manners: having more than one tRNA (with a specific anti-codon) for a particular amino acid; and 'wobble' base-pairing, i.e. permitting non-standard base-pairing at the 3rd anti-codon position. The record is from Rfam by way of RNAcentral. Lineage: Eukaryota; Metazoa; Chordata; Mammalia; Artiodactyla; Bovidae.